GAUGAAGAACGCAGCGAAAUGCGAUACGUAGUGUGAAUUGCAGAAUUCAGUGAAUCAUCGAAUCUUUGAACGCACAUUGCACCUCUCGGUAUUCCGGGAGGUAUGCCUGUUCGAGCGUCAUUUGUACCCUCAAGCUCUGCUUGGUGUUGGGUGUUUGUUCCGCCUCUGUGUGUGAACUCGCCUCAAAACAAUUGGCAGCCGGCGUACUUGUUUCGGAGCGCAGCACAUUUUGCGAUCCAGAUCAACGUACAGCGGCAUCCAAGAAGCCUUAUUUAACGCUCUUGACCUCGGAUCAGGUAGGGAUACCCGCUGAACUUAAGCAUAUCAAUAAGCGGAAGA
Molecule: unclassified non-coding RNA, 339 nt
Filed under: soil metagenome
Description: partial contains 5.8S ribosomal RNA, internal transcribed spacer 2, and large subunit ribosomal RNA
Rfam family: 5.8S ribosomal RNA (bases 1-120)
Source: RNAcentral